AUUGAACGCUGGCGGCAUGCUUUACACAUGCAAGUCGAACGGCAGCACGGGUGCUUGCACCUGGUGGCGAGUGGCGAACGGGUGAGUAAUGUAUCGGAACGUACCAUUCAGUGGGGGAUAACGUAGCGAAAGUUACGCUAAUACCGCAUAUUCUCCGAGGAGGAAAGUAGGGGAUCGCAAGACCUUGCGCUGAUUGAGCGGCCGAUAUCGGAUUAGCUAGUUGGUGAGGUAAAGGCUCACCAAGGCGACGAUCCGUAGCUGGUCUGAGAGGAUGAUCAGCCACACUGGAACUGAGACACGGUCCAGACUCCUACGGGAGGCAGCAGUGGGGAAUUUUGGACAAUGGGGGCAACCCUGAUCCAGCCAUGCCGCGUGAGUGAAGAAGGCCUUCGGGUUGUAAAGCUCUUUCGCGAGGGAAGAAAGCGCAACGGUUAAUACCCGUUGUGGAUGACGGUACCUUGAUAAGAAGCACCGGCUAACUACGUGCCAGCAGCCGCGGUAA
Molecule: ribosomal RNA, 502 nt
Filed under: uncultured bacterium
Lineage: Bacteria
Description: partial 16S ribosomal RNA
Rfam family: Bacterial small subunit ribosomal RNA
Source: RNAcentral